GGCAUAUGGAGGUUCCCAGGCUAGGGGUCUAAUAGGAGCUGUAGCCGCUGGCCUACGCCACAGCCACAGCCACAUGGGAUCCGAGCUGUGUCUGCAACCUACACCACAGCUCACGGCAACGCUGGAUCCUUCACCCACUGAGCAAGGCCAGGGAUCGAACCCGCAACCUCAUGGUUCCUAGUCGGAUUCGUUAACCACUGAGCCACGAUGGCAACUCCUAAAAGAGACUAACUUGAAGAGAAAUUAGGCCACGGUCAUUUAGCUAAGCCAUGUAUGGAAAAAAAUACAGAUUUUAUAUAUAAACCGUAUACUCUGAGUCUAUUUUAUCAUUUCAAAAUAUAAUUUAUGAUGGUUUUUUUUUUCUUUUUUAGUGACGCAUCUGCACCUGCAACAUAUGGAGGUUCUGCAUAUGGCUAGGGAUCGAAUCAGAGCUGCAGCUGCCAGCCUACGCCACAGCCAUAGCAACACCAGAUACAAGCCACAUCUGUGACCUACACCACAGCUCAUGGCAGUGCCAGAUCCUUAACCCACUGAGCAAGGCUGCAUCCUCAUGGAUACUAGUCUGGUUGGUAACUUGCUGAGCCACAACAGAAACUCCCUAUAGUUAUUUUAAAAGUAAGUUAAAACAGAAUCUCCUACUACAUGCCCAAAGGAUUCAAUUGCCCUUCCAGUAAUCCAAGAGAUACCCGCAACAUGAUAUUGGAGACUGAAUGUUCCAAGUGUCAUUGAUAGGAAAACCAUCUCAAGUAGAACACUCAACAGAAAGUUUGCCACUAAUAUGACUCUGAGUCCAGACUUCCCUGUAAAAAUGUUUUUUUUCUCCUGGGUUUAGGACUUAAGUCAUCUCUUCUUUCAGAAUUGGGGUUUUAGGAAAAUUACAUUUAGGAAUGCGUAUUUAAACAUUUAUGUAACAGUUUGUGAACCGAGUAGGCAGAGAAAUGUCAUCUGUGAAUAUAGAACUGUAGAGAGUGGGCAGCUGUGCAGUGGUCUGGUGAGAACAUACCGAUGAGCACUGCCCUGGAGAAUCACCCCAGAGUGAAGUCAGCCUCUCCUUUGUGAUCCAAUAAGUGUUUCAGUUAAUACCAUCCAACUGGCCUACUAGGACCAGUGAACUGCCCAAACAAUAUCAGGCUGUCUGGGUUUAGGGGUUCUUUUGUUAUUCUUUCCUUGGCACUGGUGGGUUCUGUUACAUAUCACAUUCUCUGAUUUUUACAGUUUGGUCCCUGAAUAUUUAGAGUGUAAGGCACGUUAGAGAUGAAGAUUGAAAUUAUCACUAUAAGAGUUCCCUUGUGGCUCAGCAGAUUAAGGAUCAAUGCCAGCAUGGUGACUGCAGUGGCUCUGGUUUACAGCUGUGGCAUGGGUUCAAUCAGUCCCUGGUCCAGGAACUUCAGCAUGCCUCGGGCACAGCCAAGAAAUAAAAAUAAAAAAUAAAAUUAUCACUGUGUACACAGAUCUCUAGAACUCUUUAUCCAAAGCCCAGAGAUGAGUAGUGUUUUGAGUCUAUAGUAGGGGAAAUACAGCUCCAGCUGUCUUAGGCUUUCUCUGACUUUGGAAGUGUAUUAUCAGUUACAUGAGUGGGAGGGAAGCUUUUAAUGCACCACUGUUAGUAGUUGUUGGGAAAUCACCAGUUGAUAAAUGUAAAUGAUGGUUUCUCUGCCCUAGGAGUAGUGUUAAAAUUCUCAUCUCUCAACUCCCUUCACAAGAAAACAAAUCUUAUUGCAUAUCUGUUUAGUUUGUUUGUGUGUUUGUUUUGGGGGGGAGGGAUUUUUUUAGGGCAUAUGGGAGUACCCAGGCUAGGGCUCGAAUCAGAGCUGUAGCCGCUGGCUUACACCACAGGCACAGCAAUGCAGGAUCUGAGCAUGUCUACAACCUACACUACAGCUCACAGCAAUGCUGGAUCCUUAACCCACUGAGCAAGGCCAGGGAUCGAACCCAUGGAUACUAGUCAGGCUCAUUUCCACUGAGCCAUAAUGGAAACUCUGCAUAUCUUUUUAACUGAAGCCUUUCUCCAGCAAAGCUUGUCCACUUGGUUUCAAUCAUUGGUCACAAUGAGUUUCAGCACACUUUAGUAUACUUCCUGUAUUCUUUAGGAAAAAGGAUGAGUCCUGCCAUGUGUGGUGUAGUUGGGCUUACAGAGAUGGAGCAUGUGUAGAUGUUGCCCUCAGAGAGCAUUCAUUCUGGGGAAGAAAAGACACAUGUGUCAAAGACUCUGAUCAGGUUGGACUGAGGAAAGUCCAAGAGGUGCUGAGCACGGAUUACUGAAGCUGAGCCAUAGGAAGUGGCUUCAGCUCAUCCACACAGGGUUUAAAGGAAGGUGGUCUUUAGACUUUGGGGAUGUAAGAGGAAGACUGUUUUCAUCAGAAGAAACACGGAAUGGGCAGAGUGGGUAUGUUUAGGGGGAAUUGCAGGGGUUUCUGUUUGGUAGAAGAUUUCAGGUAGUCUAUCAUGGAAGAUAGAGUUGAAAGGUUGUUUGAAGUUAGAUCAUGGAGGGCUUGUAAUACCAGGGUAGGAACUGGGGCUUUAGUCUCUCUUUCCUUAGUUUCAAAUAUUAACUCAAGUGUUUUAGCUUAGGUCUGAUUAUUAAGUAUGAUUAUUCAUAAAGAGUAAAGUGACCCUUUUGGCAGUUUGUUGUGGAACAAAAAAUACUGUUACACAACUGCAAUAUGUGUGGUCUGGGUCAAAUGGCUUUUUUUUUUUUCUUUUGGGCUGAAAAUUUUCCACAGAGGCAGUGCCAAAUAUAUCUCAUAAUCCUGUCACUCUGAUGAAAGUCAGCUCUAUCACUACAUUGUGCAUUUAUUUUUCAGUGAUGUUAGGAUCUACAUUUCACAGCUUUUUUUAAAUUUAAUUUAAUUUUUUUUUGACCAAGUGGGUGGUGCUAAAAUACCCUAAUACCCUAUUUCUCUGGCAAACAAUCUGCUUUGUUUAAAAGCUGAGUCAUUAAGCUCCUUUAUCUUUCUUCUCAAUUUCCUACUUAGCAUUUUCCCUGCAUAUUGGGCACUUACUUUGUAAGCAAUGAGGAGGCUCAUUGAUUUAGUGCCCAGGAAAGAGCAACUCUGGUUUUUUGGGUUUUGUUUUGUUUUUUCUGUUCAAAGGACUUAUUUUAGUCUACCUGUGGUGUGCCUUAGAAAUAUGCUAAGCUGAGGUUUUUAGCUAUUGGAGGCAAAGGGAGAAAUAUCUGAAUUUUAUCAGAUAGGCUUGGAACACUUUUCAAUUGAUAAAAACAUUAGUGAAAGGGCCAUUAUUGUUAGCAUUCUUUGGCUAAUUAACUCAGUUGACUAAAGCUUGAGGUUUAUUGGCAAGGUCAAUUAGUUUUCUCUCUCAUUAGCUCUUGGAACCUCUAGUGCUGGCCACUGAAUUCAAUAAAUAAUUAUAAUAACAGCAAGCACAUACGUAAUUUUAAACACUGACGUACAAACUCAUUUAAUCUUCAAAAUAGUCCUGAAGGGUAGGUACUGUUACUCCUUCCAUCUUUACAGAUCAUGAAGUUGAGGCAUUGAGAAGCUAUGUAACUUGUCCAGGGGCCCAUUACUGGUAAUUGGCUGAGCCAGGAUUUGAACUUAGGCACUUAGAUUUAAGGGUCUUUACUCCUGAUCUCAUUAAAAUCCAAAGACACCAGUAAGGAGGUCCCUAGACUUGAGGAAACACAAUAUGUGUCUAAAUAUUGAAGGCUAUUUAUUCUGUGUCAUAUGAAGCUUUGAAUUUAAGAAAUUUCAGACCAGUGUUAUGAUAGACAUCAGAAAUCUAUUUAAUGUCUCUUUUGUUGCCCAUGCAUAGUUGCGGACAAGGCUUCACAGAGGUGACAUCUGAGACUUGAGCCAGGACUUAAAGGAUGCUCAAGUGCUCCACAGGCAGAGAAGAGCAUUGAAGAUAGAGGGAACAGAUGCAAAGGCUCAGAGAGGUGAAAUGGCAUUUGACAUGCAUAUUUGAAGGACAAUAUGAUGUUCCCUAUACCUAAAGGAGGACACGAGGAGAGAAAAGUAAGAUGCACUUGACGAUUGCAGAUUGUACCCUGCUGAGCAGUUUAAAAAUUGUCCUCUUAGUCACCUUUUUAAAAUCAAGGGCUCACAAAUUUUGGUAUCUAAUUUCAGAGGGUUCCCAGGUGCUCUAAAGCUCAACUGUAGGUCUGUAGACCCCUCUCCCUCAAGCAGCAGAGAAUAAUUGAGAAUAGAGAACACUACGAUCCAAUGUGUGUUUUAAGAAAGAUGACUCUGAUGACCCUGAGAGAUGGCCUGGAGGAGAGAAUGAUUGGAAACAGAGAAAUCAGGAGGCAGAUAUAAAUAAUCUAGGCCAGUGAUCGCUGAGAUGGCAAAAAGAGAGCAAUGACUAUGAAAGAUAUAUCGGAGAUAGGAGCGAGAGGACCCAGAGUGACUUAAAUGGGAAAGUUGCACAUAAAAUAAUUGAAACGAGGUGUCUUUUCUAAUUUAGUUUAAGGAUAGAUGGUGAUGUCAUUAACUAAGACAGAGGACGAAGAGAGGAGAGGAGCAAAGGUGGAGAGAUGAUGGCCUGAUUUUUAGAACCACAGAGCUUUGGGUGCCCAUGAACUCUUCCAGUGGUUGAAAAUGCAAUCUGGAAAAGAACUCAGCCUUGGAGAGAGAGAGAGAGAGAGAGAUUUGGCUGUCUCUGCAAAUGGGAGGUUUAAGCCCUCUGGGUGAGUCAGGGCCACCAGGGAGCCUAGAAGGAGAAGACAAGGGCAGAGGAGGCAUAUCCGGUAAAGCUGGAUGGGAAGGCGAGACUCAGGGGAGCAGCAGCGUUAUAGUGUUUGAGCGCUCUGUUCUGAACACUCUGCAUACAUUAACUGGCUUAAUCCUCAAGACCUCUGGAAGAGCUGCAUUUUACACAUGAGGAACCUGAGGCACAGAGAGGUCAGUCAUUUGCGCCAAGUCACAGAGCUGGUAAAAAUCACUUUCAAUGGUAAAUUAGUGGUAACCUCAUGAUAGUAUUAUGAGUCUUUGUUAUAACUCUUUUAUAGAUUUUGUUAUAACUCUUUUUGUUAUAAAUUUUAUAGAUUUAAAUAUAGAUUGGUAAGCUUUAAUGACAGUAGUUCCUUAUUCACUGAACGACCCCCCCCAUCAAGUAAGUAUAGUAUGCUUAUCAGAAUUCAUGAAGAAAAUAUGAUCUGAGACUUUCAUACAUUUCCAAAUUCCCUGGCUUUUUCUCGCAUGAGUAUUCUGUCAAGAUUCAUGCAUUUCUUCAACAUAUUUUCAUUUAAUAGGUUACAUUUUCCCUGACGUUUUCUCCCAACUAAUAAGCAUUUUUGGCAUUAAUUGGAGCACUUCCUGAAAUGGUUGCAUGAGUCAUAUUUUCGUAUUUCCUCUUGGAAUAUCUGUUGGAUUCUCUUAACAGUGAUCUAAGACAUCCCCAAACUCUAUAUUCUUGUUUUAAUUUACCCCAGACUUUUCUUGUCUCCUUGAAUCCAUCCAUUUCUUAGAACCUCUUCAUUUUGUUUUCCCUUUUAUCACUACACCAGCAGAGAUUUUCCUUGAAGCCCAUUUUCUCAGUUAUUUUGUUAUUACUUCAUCAGAGUUAUACACACCAAGGAGGAAAGAACAAUGAAACCACACCAGGUUGCCACAGUUGGGCUGUCUCUUAGGCUGGGGUCAGCAAACUACAGUCCAUGGGCCAAAUGGAAGCCACCACAUUUUUGUAAAGUUUUAUUGGGGCACAGACAGACUCAUUCAUUUACACAUUGUCUGUGGCUGCUUUCCUGCUAAAAGGGCAGAGUUGAGUAGUUGCAUUAAGUGGAAUACAGCAUGACCCACAUAACCUAAAAUGUUUACUGAUUUGACCCCUCACAAAGAAAGUGCUGACUCUUGCUUUAUAGCCUACAGCUUUGGGAAUAUUAGGAUAUUGCCAAAGCACAUUUAUAGUGCUUUAGUUAAGGAGGGUUUUUUUAAAAAGCAAAAUUUUAAAUAAAAUCUUACUCAACUGAAUAAUAGAACUGUUGAGUGGUUUCUGUAAUAUUUGUUCUUUGGAUCUAAACAGAAAUUGUCAAGGGAGGAGUUCCUGUCAUGGCUUGGUGGUUAACGAACUCAAGUAGUAUCCAUGAGGACAAGGGUUCAAUCCCUGGCCUCCCUCAGUGGGUUAAGGAUCGGCAUUGCCGUGAGCUGUGGUGUAGGUCACAGAUGCAGUUCGGAUCCUGUGUGGCUGUGACUGUGGUGUAGGCCAGCAGCUACAGCUCUGAUUCAACCCCUAGCCUGGGAACUUCCAUAUGCUGCGGGUUCAGCCCUAAAAAG
This 6233-nucleotide long non-coding RNA is filed under the name Sus scrofa (pig). Its description in RNAcentral is "lncRNA (ENSSSCG00015030992.1)". The record is from RNAcentral. Lineage: Eukaryota; Metazoa; Chordata; Mammalia; Artiodactyla; Suidae.